RNAcentral lists this long non-coding RNA (473 nucleotides) under Vitis vinifera (wine grape). Its description in RNAcentral is "long non-coding RNA (VVIN_LNC000320)". The record is from RNAcentral. Lineage: Eukaryota; Viridiplantae; Streptophyta; Magnoliopsida; Vitales; Vitaceae.
GAUUCUGAUUGAUGGGGAAGAGAAGAAGAAGGCAAAUUUCCUCUCAGCUGAAGAUUUUGAGCCAGCUCUAAUUCCUGCUGAGACUAUUCCGGAUCCAAAUGAUAAGAAGCCAGAGGAUUGGGAUGAAAGGGCAAAGAUUCCAGACCCAGAUGCAGUGAAGCCAGAUGAUUGGGAUGAGGAUGCACCCAUGGAGAUUGAAGAUGAGGAAGCUGUCAAGCCUGAAGGGUGGUUGGAUGAUGAGCCUGAGGAGAUCGAUGAUCCUGAUGCUUCAAAGCCAGAAGAUUGGGAUGAUGAGGAGGACGGUGAAUGGGAAGCUCCUAAAAUUGAUAACCCAAAGUGUGAGAUAGCACCUGGAUGUGGUGAGUGGAAGAGGCCAAUGAAGAGGAAUCCUGCUUACAAAGGAAAAUGGCAUGCCCCUCUAAUUGACAAUCCAGAUUAUAAGGGCAUUUGGAAGCCUCAGCAGAUCCCAAACC